ACGCACGCUGGCGGCGUGCUUCACACAUGCAAGUCGAACGGAAAGGCCCUGCUUUUGUGGGGUGCUCGAGUGGCGAACGGGUGAGUAACACGUGAGUAACCUGCCCUUGACUUUGGGAUAACUUCAGGAAACUGGGGCUAAUACCGGAUAGGAGCUCCUGCUGCAUGGUGGGGGUUGGAAAGUUUCGGCGGUUGGGGAUGGACUCGCGGCUUAUCAGCUUGUUGGUGGGGUAGUGGCUUACCAAGGCUUUGACGGGUAGCCGGCCUGAGAGGGUGACCGGCCACAUUGGGACGGAGAUACGGCCCAGACUCCUACGGGAGGCAGCAGUGGGGAAUAUUGCACAAUGGGCGGAAGCCUGAUGCAGCAACGCCGCGUGCGGGAGGACGGCCUUCGGGUUGGAAACCGCUUUCGCCUGUGACGAAGCGUGAGUGACGGUAAUGGGUAAAGAAGCACCGGCUAACUACGU
This 466-nucleotide ribosomal RNA is filed under the name uncultured bacterium. RNAcentral describes it as "partial 16S ribosomal RNA". It matches the Rfam family "Bacterial small subunit ribosomal RNA", at positions 29 to 506 of the family's 1533-position model. The record is from RNAcentral.